Molecule: long non-coding RNA, 302 nt
Filed under: Androctonus crassicauda
Lineage: Eukaryota; Metazoa; Arthropoda; Arachnida; Scorpiones; Buthidae
Source: RNAcentral
AGCGGCUAUGAUAGGCAGGAAAGGGAAUCAGGCUAAAAUUCCUGAACUGUGGUUAGAAGAGUGCUGGUGUUCGCAUCAGCAUGAAGCUGCAAAGCCUCGUUCAGUUGGCGUAGCGUCUCGGUGGCUGUGGAAGAGUCCGCUUUUCUCCCUAACAGCGAUUGGCCUCACGGCACUGGCCUUGGUUGGUGCUGGAGGUUUAUUAUCUCCCAUGAAUUGUGUAGAACAGAGAUUGGGAAAUAUUAGAGCUGAAAAGGCAGGCACUAUUAUUGUGGCUGUACAGUUCUCCGAAGCGUAAAUAGAAU